This 118-nucleotide ribosomal RNA is filed under the name Pteropus alecto (black flying fox). The record is from RNAcentral. Lineage: Eukaryota; Metazoa; Chordata; Mammalia; Chiroptera; Pteropodidae.
GUCUAUGGCCAUGCCACCCUGAACAAGCCCGAUCCCAUCUGAUCUUGGAAGCUAAGCAGGGUGGGGCCUGGUUAGUACUUGGAUAGGAGACCACCAGGAAGACCAGGUGCUGUAGGCA